CUAACAAGGAUUUCCCUUAGUAACUGCGAGUGAAGAGGGAAAAGCUCAAAUUUAAAAUCUGGCAGUGUUUCACUGUCCGAGUUGUAACCUAGAGAAGUGUAACCUGCGCUGGACCGUGUAUAAGUCUCCUGGAAUGGAGCAUCACAGAGGGUGAGAAUCCCGUCUUUGACAUGGACCACCAGCGCAUUGUGGUUGUGCUCUCAACGAGUCGAGUUGUUUGGGAAUGCAGCUCUAAAUGGGUGGUAAAUUCCAUCUAAAGCUAAAUAUUGGCGAGAGACCGAUAGCGAACAAGUACCGUGAGGGAAAGAUGAAAAGAACUUUGGAAAGAGAGUUAAACAGUAUGUGAAAUUGUUGAAAGGGAAACGUUUGAAGUCAGUCGCGUUGGUUGGGGAUCAGCCUGACAUUGUUGGGUUUACUUCCUGGUCGACGGGCCAACAUCAGUUUUGACUGCCAGAAAAAGGCCAAAGGAAUGUGGCACCUUUGGGUGUGUUAUAGCCCUUGGUCGUAUAUGGUGGUUGGGACUGAGGAAAGCAGCGUGCCGAAAGGCCGGGUUUCGACCACGUUCACGCUGAGGAUGUUGGCAUAAUGGCUUUAAGCGACCCGUCUUGAAACACGGACCAAGGAGUCUAACAUGCAUGCGAGUGUUUGGGUGGAAAACCCUUACGCGUAAUGAAAGUGAAAGUUGAGAUCCCUGUCGCGGGGAGCAUCGACGCCCGGACCAGAACUUUUGGGACGGAUCUGCGGUAGAGCACGUAUGUUGGGACCCGAAAGAUGGUGAACUAUGCCUGAAUAGGGUGAAGCCAGAGGAAACUCUGGUGGAGGCUCGUAGCGAUUCUGACGUGCAAAUCGAUCGUCAAAUUUGGGUAUAGGGGCGAAAGACUAAUCG
This 886-nucleotide ribosomal RNA is filed under the name Amanita rubescens. Its description in RNAcentral is "eukaryotic LSU rRNA". It matches the Rfam family "Eukaryotic large subunit ribosomal RNA", at positions 65 to 937 of the family's 3401-position model. Lineage: Eukaryota; Fungi; Basidiomycota; Agaricomycetes; Agaricales; Amanitaceae. The record is from RNAcentral.